AGAGUACUUGGAUCUAACGGAGGACAUGACACAGGACCGAGCACAAUGGCGUUCUAAGAUUCAUAUAGUCGACCCCACUCAGUGACUUGGAUUUUCCAAGUCUCCAACCGAGAAGUUUUCCUCACUCGGGAAAUUAAGGGAACACUACCUCAACCUACAUGCUCCACUCACAAAGCUUCAACAUACAAGAUUCAACAAAAGAAAAAUUCAAAGAACUUAGUGAAGAAGGCUUUGGUGUAUUUAACACAAUACGUUGAAAUGAAGGAAAACUUAUUUAUUG
This 280-nucleotide long non-coding RNA is filed under the name Malus domestica (apple). RNAcentral describes it as "long non-coding RNA (MDOM_LNC006061)". Lineage: Eukaryota; Viridiplantae; Streptophyta; Magnoliopsida; Rosales; Rosaceae. The record is from RNAcentral.